Molecule: ribosomal RNA, 2241 nt
Filed under: Escherichia coli
Lineage: Bacteria; Pseudomonadati; Pseudomonadota; Gammaproteobacteria; Enterobacterales; Enterobacteriaceae
Description: bacterial LSU rRNA
Rfam family: Bacterial large subunit ribosomal RNA
Source: RNAcentral
CGUACCUUUUGUAUAAUGGGUCAGCGACUUAUAUUCUGUAGCAAGGUUAACCGAAUAGGGGAGCCGAAGGGAAACCGAGUCUUAACUGGGCGUUAAGUUGCAGGGUAUAGACCCGAAACCCGGUGAUCUAGCCAUGGGCAGGUUGAAGGUUGGGUAACACUAACUGGAGGACCGAACCGACUAAUGUUGAAAAAUUAGCGGAUGACUUGUGGCUGGGGGUGAAAGGCCAAUCAAACCGGGAGAUAGCUGGUUCUCCCCGAAAGCUAUUUAGGUAGCGCCUCGUGAAUUCAUCUCCGGGGGUAGAGCACUGUUUCGGCAAGGGGGUCAUCCCGACUUACCAACCCGAUGCAAACUGCGAAUACCGGAGAAUGUUAUCACGGGAGACACACGGCGGGUGCUAACGUCCGUCGUGAAGAGGGAAACAACCCAGACCGCCAGCUAAGGUCCCAAAGUCAUGGUUAAGUGGGAAACGAUGUGGGAAGGCCCAGACAGCCAGGAUGUUGGCUUAGAAGCAGCCAUCAUUUAAAGAAAGCGUAAUAGCUCACUGGUCGAGUCGGCCUGCGCGGAAGAUGUAACGGGGCUAAACCAUGCACCGAAGCUGCGGCAGCGACGCUGAUGCGUUGUUGGGUAGGGGAGCGUUCUGUAAGCCUGUGAAGGUGUGCUGUGAGGCAUGCUGGAGGUAUCAGAAGUGCGAAUGCUGACAUAAGUAACGAUAAAGCGGGUGAAAAGCCCGCUCGCCGGAAGACCAAGGGUUCCUGUCCAACGUUAAUCGGGGCAGGGUGAGUCGACCCCUAAGGCGAGGCCGAAAGGCGUAGUCGAUGGGAAACAGGUUAAUAUUCCUGUACUUGGUGUUACUGCGAAGGGGGGACGGAGAAGGCUAUGUUGGCCGGGCGACGGUUGUCCCGGUUUAAGCGUGUAGGCUGGUUUUCCAGGCAAAUCCGGAAAAUCAAGGCUGAGGCGUGAUGACGAGGCACUACGGUGCUGAAGCAACAAAUGCCCUGCUUCCAGGAAAAGCCUCUAAGCAUCAGGUAACAUCAAAUCGUACCCCAAACCGACACAGGUGGUCAGGUAGAGAAUACCAAGGCGCUUGAGAGAACUCGGGUGAAGGAACUAGGCAAAAUGGUGCCGUAACUUCGGGAGAAGGCACGCUGAUAUGUAGGUGAAGUCCCUCGCGGAUGGAGCUGAAAUCAGUCGAAGAUACCAGCUGGCUGCAACUGUUUAUUAAAAACACAGCACUGUGCAAACACGAAAGUGGACGUAUACGGUGUGACGCCUGCCCGGUGCCGGAAGGUUAAUUGAUGGGGUCAGCGCAAGCGAAGCUCUUGAUCGAAGCCCCGGUAAACGGCGGCCGUAACUAUAACGGUCCUAAGGUAGCGAAAUUCCUUGUCGGGUAAGUUCCGACCUGCACGAAUGGCGUAAUGAUGGCCAGGCUGUCUCCACCCGAGACUCAGUGAAAUUGAACUCGCUGUGAAGAUGCAGUGUACCCGCGGCAAGACGGAAAGACCCCGUGAACCUUUACUAUAGCUUGACACUGAACAUUGAGCCUUGAUGUGUAGGAUAGGUGGGAGGCUUUGAAGUGUGGACGCCAGUCUGCAUGGAGCCGACCUUGAAAUACCACCCUUUAAUGUUUGAUGUUCUAACGUUGACCCGUAAUCCGGGUUGCGGACAGUGUCUGGUGGGUAGUUUGACUGGGGCGGUCUCCUCCUAAAGAGUAACGGAGGAGCACGAAGGUUGGCUAAUCCUGGUCGGACAUCAGGAGGUUAGUGCAAUGGCAUAAGCCAGCUUGACUGCGAGCGUGACGGCGCGAGCAGGUGCGAAAGCAGGUCAUAGUGAUCCGGUGGUUCUGAAUGGAAGGGCCAUCGCUCAACGGAUAAAAGGUACUCCGGGGAUAACAGGCUGAUACCGCCCAAGAGUUCAUAUCGACGGCGGUGUUUGGCACCUCGAUGUCGGCUCAUCACAUCCUGGGGCUGAAGUAGGUCCCAAGGGUAUGGCUGUUCGCCAUUUAAAGUGGUACGCGAGCUGGGUUUAGAACGUCGUGAGACAGUUCGGUCCCUAUCUGCCGUGGGCGCUGGAGAACUGAGGGGGGCUGCUCCUAGUACGAGAGGACCGGAGUGGACGCAUCACUGGUGUUCGGGUUGUCAUGCCAAUGGCACUGCCCGGUAGCUAAAUGCGGAAGAGAUAAGUGCUGAAAGCAUCUAAGCACGAAACUUGCCCCGAGAUGAGUUCUCCCUGACUCCUUGA